GAGGAAAGCUGGCGGCGUGCCUAAUACAUGCAAGUCGAGCGAACAGACGAGGAGCUUGCUCCUCUGACGUUAGCGGCGGACGGGUGAGUAACACGUGGAUAACCUACCUAUAAGACUGGGAUAACUUCGGGAAACCGGAGCUAAUACCGGAUAAUAUAUUGAACCGCAUGGUUCAAUAGUGAAAGACGGUUUUGCUGUCACUUAUAGAUGGAUCCGCGCCGCAUUAGCUAGUUGGUAAGGUAACGGCUUACCAAGGCAACGAUGCGUAGCCGACCUGAGAGGGUGAUCGGCCACACUGGAACUGAGACACGGUCCAGACUCCUACGGGAGGCAGCAGUAGGGAAUCUUCCGCAAUGGGCGAAAGCUUGACGGAGCAACGCCGCGUGAGUGAUGAAGGUCUUCGGAUCGUAAAACUCUGUUAUUAGGGAAGAACAAAUGUGUAAGUAACUAUGCACGUCUUGACGGUACCUAAUCAGAAAGCCACGGCUAACUACGUG
RNAcentral lists this ribosomal RNA (497 nucleotides) under uncultured bacterium. Its description in RNAcentral is "partial 16S ribosomal RNA". It matches the Rfam family "Bacterial small subunit ribosomal RNA", at positions 28 to 507 of the family's 1533-position model. The record is from RNAcentral.